Molecule: long non-coding RNA, 1348 nt
Organism: Pangasianodon hypophthalmus (striped catfish)
Lineage: Eukaryota; Metazoa; Chordata; Actinopteri; Siluriformes; Pangasiidae
Exons: 3
Source: RefSeq, a predicted model, not a curated record
UUUCUACGUUCACGAAAAACCCACCUAGAAAACUAGACUGUUUCCUGUCGGUUUGGAAAGAAGCGUCCACAGCUAAACAGACGCCGCCAUCUUGGAUGUGAUGUAGACGAGAGAUUGGAGGCGCGCGUGCCUCAGCAGCGUGUUAAUGAUUAAUGACUGACAGACCAUAAGAGCAUGGGUUGCAGGGAGCCUGGAGCCUAUCCCAGGGGUCUCGGGGCACCUGGACCUGGGGUGCAAACCCAUCACAGGGCACAAUCACACACACUCAGACACUUUAGAGAUGCCAGUCAGCCUACAACGCAUGUCUUUGGACUGGGGAGGAAACCCCCGAAGCACAGGGAGAACAUGCAAACUCCACACACACAGGGAGGACGAGGAGGGAAUCGAACCCCCAACCGUGGAGGCUGAGGAAACUUAUUUGGAACAUGAACCAGUUUUGAGGAACCAGACAAUAAACAUACACUAUAUGGCCAAAAGUUUGUGGACACCUGACCAUCACACUCAUAUGUACUUCAAGGAUUGACUUGGGACUGUCCGUGAUUAAAGUUAAAAUGUAAAAAUCAGAGAUGAAUAAGAAAUAAUAAGAAAUAAGAUAUGAAAUAUGAAAUAUAUGUACAGGAAUGUGCAAAAGGGAUGUACAAAAUAUGCAGUAUGUUAGGUGUAGUAACAAUACAAAGUGCAGUGUGUGGAGUGUCAGUGGAGUGCAGAGUGACUGUAGAGUCCUUGUGGAGUCCUAAGGGGUCUGCAUGGUGGACAUGUCCGUGUUGAGGAGUCUGAUGGCCUGAGGGAACUGAGAACAUCUCAGUUUUAGCCAAUGGACUACGGAAGCGCCUGCCUGAUUGCAGCAGGCUAAACAGAGAGUUACCGGGGUGGGUGGAGUCUCUGAAGAUUUUAGCAGCUCUGGUACUGCAUCGUCUGGUGUAGAUGUCAUGCAGAGAGGGGAGAGCAGAUCCGGAGAUGCACUCCGCUAAGCGCACCACUCUCUUCAGGGCUUUGCGGUCCUGGGUUGAGCAGUUACCAUACCUCGCUGAGAUUUACUGAGUUAGUAAACUUUCUAUGGCCCCAGUGUAGAAAGUUUUCAGGAUCACUGGGGAGACCCUGAAUUUCCUCAGCAGUCUCAGAUGGUACAGCCGAUGUCUGGCUUUGUUCUAUCUGCUCUGAACAAGCGAAUCUUUAGGCCACAUUCAGACUGAAGGUAAACAAAGAAAUAUGAUCUGCUGUAACUUCCUGGUGGUCUUGUGAUUAAAGGUCUUGCUGCUCGCCACAUGUCAAAUAUCAUCUAAAAGUGAAAUCAAAUGCUCUGCUUUCGGAAAUCCAGCUUCAAACUAAUAAAAAAUAAAAUCGAUUU